AAUCUGAUAUCCCUGAAGCAUCUGAUCUGAGGACAAAAAAGAAAAUACUUCAGACUGUAGGGGAGCGGUGGAGACAAUUUAAGUCUAAUUUGACGUCGAAAUGAGCACUUGCAACUGACAAGGAAAGUGUCGAUGACAUUGUAUGCGAAAAGUACGACAUUAGCAAGGAGAAGUGGGCCCAACUUUGUCAGACCCGCAGAGACCCUUCGUGGGAGGAUGUGCGAAAAAAGACACAGGCCAUCCAGAAACAAAACAUUGUCCCUCACAUGUUGUCUCGUGUGGGUUAUGAAUAUCUAGAAAACAAGUUGAUAAAUGAGAAGAAACAAAAAAAAGUGGAGGAAACUGCUCUAUCCAGAAGCACUGACACUGUGAUUAAUCCUCCAUCUCCCAUCAGACGACACAUGAAGUGAAAGAUGGUCCGCACCAAGAAAACUGGACAAAUGACAUCUAAGGCAGCUAAGGAAAUUGCUGACAAGAUUGAUUUUUUGGAGAAGCAAGCCUCACAAGGUUCCUUUGUCACCCAUGGACGUCAGGAUAUAUUGACUGCUGCCACUGGGCGACUAGAACACCCUGGUCGUGUGUGUGCUGCUAAAUUCGGUGUCAUAAUCAAGCAAUACUUUGGACCAGCUCCAAGGAUUUCCUGCACAUCUUCCUCCAUGGUUCCCGAAGACCUGGAACAGUUGACGCAAAAAAUCAGGGUCCAGCUGGAGGAGUCAAUCACAGAAAAAGUGACUCGACAAAUAAUGUUAUCCUUUAGCCAAAUACAGUCAUAGUUUCAAUCGCAAAUGCAAUCACAAGGACUUACAUUGCCUCCUGAGCCUAUGGUUGGUCCUUCAGUUGCUCGUGUCAGCACAAAGGAGAAUUGUGUUGAUCCCUCAGGGAAUGAUCCAGACAGGGGUGACUCAGACAAAUGCAGGUUGUACGUCAAAGAAAAUCCUCCCCGCCUGGUUGCCCUAAUAAUACUUUAUGAGGGGUACACAAUCGUUCACGACAUUCCUUUGCUCCAUGAUCAAGUCAAGGUUGGUGUUGAGGAGGUUAGAGAUACAAAUGCUCUCAUUCCUGUACCCACUGAAGAGGUUAAGUUAGUGGGGGAAAACACUUAGCACCUUCCUUGCUUGACCGACACAUCUUGUCAAGCGUUUAUUAGAACAUGUAUUUCAAUGUCAUUAAAUGCUUUUUUUCAAUUAAAGUGUUCACUGUAAUUAAAUUAUGUUAAUUAAUUGUGUGGGAUAAACAGGGAGUUGUGGGAUUGGCAAAACCUGCAAAUAGGCUGGAUCAUGAUGUCGAUGAUCUCCUAUACCUGAUGACAUUGACCAUCCCACAAAUUUUUCUGAAGUCGUUGCAGGUUAUGUGGGAUGCUAC
This is a long non-coding RNA of Glycine soja, 1362 nucleotides long. RefSeq lists it as uncharacterized. Lineage: Eukaryota; Viridiplantae; Streptophyta; Magnoliopsida; Fabales; Fabaceae. The record is from RefSeq and is a predicted model, not a curated record. The transcript has 3 exons.